GUGCUCACUUUGGCAGCACAUGUACUAAAUAAUUAGAAUGAUACAGAGUUAGCAUGGGCCCCGUGCAAGGAUGACGUGCAGAUUUGUGAAGCAUUCUAGAUUUAA
Molecule: small nuclear RNA, 105 nt
Organism: Artibeus jamaicensis (Jamaican fruit-eating bat)
Lineage: Eukaryota; Metazoa; Chordata; Mammalia; Chiroptera; Phyllostomidae
Source: RefSeq, a predicted model, not a curated record